RNAcentral lists this ribosomal RNA (253 nucleotides) under uncultured bacterium. RNAcentral describes it as "partial 16S ribosomal RNA". It matches the Rfam family "Bacterial small subunit ribosomal RNA", at positions 524 to 776 of the family's 1533-position model. The record is from RNAcentral.
GACAGAGGGUGCAAACGUUGUUCGGAAUUACUGGGCGUAAAGCGCAUGUAGGCGGCCGCGUAGGUCGGAUGUGAAAGCCCUCGGCUCAACCGAGGAAGUGCAUUCGAAACCGCGUGGCUGGAGUCCCGGAGAGGAAGGUGGAAUUCUCGGUGUAGAGGUGAAAUUCGUAGAUAUCGAGAGGAACAUCGGCGGCGAAGGCGGCCUUCUGGACGAGGACUGACGCUGAGAUGCGAAAGCGUGGGGAGCAAACAGG